UUCUUUGUAAAAUGAGAACUAUAACUAAUAUAGGUCAAGCUACAAAGGGCGCAUGGUGAAAAGCUGCGAUAAGCUUCGGGUAGGCGCACAUAGCCUGAGAUCCGAAGAUCUCCGAAUGAGGAAACUCACAUGGGAAACCCCAUGUAUCAUUAAGUGAAUACAUAGCUUAAUGAAGGUAACCCAGGGAACUGAAACAUCUAAGUACCUGGAGGAAGAGAAAGAAAAAUCGAUUUUCUUAGUAGCGGCGAGCGAAAGGGAAAGAGCCCAAACCGGAAACUUGUUUCCGGGGUUGUGGACAUAACAUAAAAGUGGAGGCUAUUGUAACUGAAGAGAACUGGAAAGUUCCACCGUAGAAGGUAAUAGUCCUGUAAGUGAAACGAGAAGACCACGAGUUAUGAUCCAGAGUACCACGAGACACGUGAAACCUUGUGGGAAGCAGGGAGGACCACCUCCCAAGGCUAAAUACUACCUGAUGACCGAUAGUGAAGCAGUACCGUGAGGGAAAGGUGAAAAGAACCCCGGGAGGGGAGUGAAAUAGAACCUGAAACCGUGUGCCUACAACCGCUCAGAGCCCCUUAUGAGGGUGAUGAGGUGCUUUUUGUAGAACGAGCCAACGAGUUACGGUAUGUAGCAAGGUUAAGUACUUAAGGUACGGAGCCGAAGGGAAACCGAGUCUGAAUAGGGCGACUAGUUGCAUGCCGUAGACCCGAAACCGGGUGACCUAUCCAUGGCCAGGUUGAAGCGAGGGUAAAACCUCGUGGAGGACCGAACCACGUUGCUGUUGAAAAAGCAUGGGAUGAGCUGUGGAUAGCGGAGAAAUUCCAAUCGAACCCGGAGAUAGCUGGUUCUCUCCGAAAUAGCUUUAGGGCUAGCGUCGAGUAUGAGUAGUGGAGGUAGAGCACUGAAUGGGCUAGGGGGCAUAGCGCUUACCGAACCUUAUCAAACUCCGAAUGCCACAUACUUUGAGCUCGGCAGUCAGACUACGAAUGAUAAGAUCCGUGGUCAAAAGGGAAACAGCCCAGAUCGUCAGCUAAGGUCCCAAAGUGUAAGUUAAGUGGGAAAGGAUGUGAGAUUUCUAAGACAACUAGGAUGUUGGCUUAGAAGCAGCCAUUCAUUAAAAGAGUGCGUAAUAGCUCACUAGUCGAGAGAUCUUGCGCCGAAAAUGUAACGGGGCUAAACUUACCACCGAAGCUACGGGCUUGAACUUAGUUCAAGCGGUAGGAGAGCGUCGUAACCGGGCUGAAGUCGUACCGUAAGGAGCGGUGGACUGGUUACGAGUGAGAAUGUUGGCAUCAGUAGCGAGAUGUGGGUGAGAAUCCCACAGGCCGAAAACCUAAGGUUUCCUCAGGAAGGUUCGUCCGCUGAGGGUUAGUCGGGACCUAAGCCGAGGCCGAAAGGCGUAGGUGAUGGACAACUGGUUGAUAUUCCAGUACCACUACCAUCGUUAUUAUCGAUGGCGUGACGCAGGAGGAUAGUGUGUGCUAGCUAUUGGAUGCUAGUCUAAGCGUUUAGGCAGUGAGAGUAGGCAAAUCCGCUCUCAUAAUGCUGAGGCGUGAUGGGGAAGGUUCCACGGAACCGAAGUACAUGAUUCCACGCUGCCAAGAAAAGCGUCUAGAGAGAGAAGUAGUGCCCGUACCGCAAACCGACACAGGUAGGUGAGGAGAGAAUCCUAAGGCCGGCGGAAGAAUUACAGUUAAGGAACUCGGCAAAUUGACCCCGUAAGUUCGCGAGAAGGGGUGCCUACGAGAGUAGGCCGCAGAGAAUAGGCCCAAGCAACUGUUUAGCAAAAACACAGGUCUCUGCUAAAGCGUAAGCUGAUGUAUAGGGGCUGACGCCUGCCCGGUGCUGGAAGGUUAAGGGGAACACUUAGCGCAAGCGAAGGUGUGAACUUAAGCCCCAGUAAACGGCGGCCGUAACUAUAACGGUCCUAAGGUAGCGAAAUUCCUUGUCAGGUAAGUUCUGACCCGCACGAAUGGCGUAAUGACUUGGGCACUGUCUCAACUGUAAAUCCGGCGAAGUUGUAGUGCGAGUGAAGAUGCUCGCUACCCGCGAUUGGACGGAAAGACCCCGUAGAGCUUUACUGUAGCUUAGCAUUGAGUUUUGGUAUUGUCUGUACAGGAUAGGUGGGAGACUAGGAAACCAGGGCGUCAGCCUUGGUGGAGUCAACCUUGGGAUACCACCCUGACAGUACUGAAAUUCUAACUGGCGGCCAUGAAUCUGGUCACAGGACAUUGUUAGGUGGGCAGUUUGACUGGGGCGGUCGCCUCCUAAAAAGUAACGGAGGCGCCCAAAGGUUCCCUCAGAACGGUCGGAAAUCGUUCGAAGAGUGCAAAGGCAGAAGGGAGCCUGACUGCGACACCCACAAGUGGAGCAGGGACGAAAGUCGGGCUUAGUGAUCCGGUGGUACCUCGUGGGAGGGCCAUCGCUCAACGGAUAAAAGCUACCUCGGGGAUAACAGGCUGAUCUCCCCCAAGAGUCCACAUCGACGGGGAGGUUUGGCACCUCGAUGUCGGCUCGUCGCAUCCUGGGGCUGAAGUAGGUCCCAAGGGUUGGGCUGUUCGCCCAUUAAAGCGGCACGCGAGCUGGGUUCAGAACGUCGUGAGACAGUUCGGUCCCUAUCCGUCGCGGGCGUAGGAAAUUUGAGAGGA
RNAcentral lists this ribosomal RNA (2648 nucleotides) under Klebsiella sp. Its description in RNAcentral is "partial 23S ribosomal RNA". It matches the Rfam family "Bacterial large subunit ribosomal RNA". Lineage: Bacteria; Pseudomonadati; Pseudomonadota; Gammaproteobacteria; Enterobacterales; Enterobacteriaceae. The record is from RNAcentral.